UACGGAGAGUGCAAGCAUUAAUCGGAAUUAUUGGGCGUAAAGGGCGCGUAGGCGGAGAGAAAAGUCAGAUGUGAAAUUCCAAAGCUCAACUUUGGAGCUGCAUUUGAAACUAUCGUUCUAGAGGAUUGACGGAGAAAACGGAAUUCCACGUGUAGCGGUGAAAUGCGUAGAGAUGUGGAAGAACACCUGUGGCGAAAGCGGUUUUCUAGUUUAUUUCCUGACGCUGAGGCGCGAGAGCAAGGGGAGCAAACAGG
RNAcentral lists this ribosomal RNA (254 nucleotides) under uncultured bacterium. RNAcentral's name for it is "partial 16S ribosomal RNA". It matches the Rfam family "Bacterial small subunit ribosomal RNA", at positions 524 to 776 of the family's 1533-position model. The record is from RNAcentral.